RNAcentral lists this ribosomal RNA (459 nucleotides) under uncultured bacterium. Its description in RNAcentral is "partial 16S ribosomal RNA". It matches the Rfam family "Bacterial small subunit ribosomal RNA", at positions 338 to 795 of the family's 1533-position model. The record is from RNAcentral.
CCUACGGGUGGCAGCAGUGAGGAAUAUUGGUCAAUGGGCGCGAGCCUGAACCAGCCAAGUCGCGUGCGGGAAGACGGUCCUAUGGAUUGUAAACCUCUUUUGUCGGGGAGCAAAAGACGCCACGCGUGGCGUUCCGAGAGUACCCGAAGAAAAAGCAUCGGCUAACUCCGUGCCAGCCGCCGCGGUAAUACGGGGGAGGCGAGCGUUAUCCGGAUUUAUUGGGUUUAAAGGGUGCGCGGGCGGAAGAUAAAGUCAGCGGUAAAAUUGAGUGGCUCAACCUGUUCGCGCCGGUGAAACUGGUUGUCUCGAGUUGGUGAGAAGGAUGCGGAAUGCGCGGUGUAGCGGUGAAAUGCGUAGAUAUCGCGCAGAACUCCGAUUGCGAAGGCAGCAUGCCGGCUCCACACUGACGCUGAGGCACGAAAGCGUGGGUAUCGAACAGGAUUAGAUACCCCUGUAGUC